Molecule: long non-coding RNA, 624 nt
Organism: Culicoides brevitarsis
Lineage: Eukaryota; Metazoa; Arthropoda; Insecta; Diptera; Ceratopogonidae
Exons: 3
Source: RefSeq, a predicted model, not a curated record
AUCACAUUGGGCGUCGUAUAUGUCAAAAAUCGUUCUUUUCACACAAGAUCACAAGGUUGUCACUGCACCUCUCGUAUCGUAUUUAAAAAAUAAAUCAGAAUAAUUUCGAGAUUUAAUUUUUAAAGGAGAGCGAAACUAAAAAUUUCACCCAAAUACGAGAUAUGAGGACUUCGGUAAUCGCGAAUGCAGUUCGAGUUAAUUACUCUCAUCAGUUUGGCAACAGUCGACAAGUGACUGACAGAACAACCGUCGGAUCGGCAGCUUUGCUCGCCUUCGUCGGUUUCUCCCUGUCCAGCUUCAGUUUGAAGCAAAUUGUGACCAAAGGAGCUGCAUCCAAGUUGUAAAAAGGCGCACACAGACUCAAAAACUCAUCCUCCAUAACGAAAGAUGUUGCAGUAAACAGUCCUCCAUAAGUCACACUCAACAUUCUUAUUUAUUUUUGUUUUUUAUUGUCACCCAACUCAUCAUCACUCCAACCAUCCAUCAAAAUGUUACAAUAUUUUUGUUAAAGCGCAAAAAAAAGUAUUCUGUACCAAUAAUGGAUCAAUGCUUUUAUUCUCGUAGUACAACAAGUAGAAGACGAGGAGCAGCUUACACUUCAUUUUAUAUUUUAUAGGUCUCAUA